UAGGGAAUCUUCGGCAAUGGACGAAAGUCUGACCGAGCAACGCCGCGUGAGUGAAGAAGGUUUUCGGAUCGUAAAACUCUGUUGUUAGAGAAGAACAAGGACGUUAGUAACUGAACGUCCCCUGACGGUAUCUAACCAGAAAGCCACGGCUAACUACGUGCCAGCAGCCGCGGUAAUACGUAGGUGGCAAGCGUUGUCCGGAUUUAUUGGGCGUAACGCGAGCGCAGGCGGUUUCUUAAGUCUGAUGUGAAAGCCCCCGGCUCAACCGGGGAGGGUCAUUGGAAACUGGGAGACUUGAGUGCAGAAGAGGAGAGUGGAAUUCCAUGUGUAGCGGUGAAAUGCGUAGAUAUAUGGAGGAACACCAGUGGCGAAGGCGGCUCUCUGGUCUGUAACUGACGCUGAGGCUCGAAAGCGUGGGGAGCAAACAGG
RNAcentral lists this ribosomal RNA (429 nucleotides) under Gemmatimonadota bacterium. RNAcentral's name for it is "Gemmatimonadetes bacterium partial 16S ribosomal RNA". It matches the Rfam family "Bacterial small subunit ribosomal RNA", at positions 355 to 776 of the family's 1533-position model. Lineage: Bacteria; Pseudomonadati; Gemmatimonadota. The record is from RNAcentral.